RNAcentral lists this ribosomal RNA (470 nucleotides) under uncultured bacterium. RNAcentral's name for it is "partial 16S ribosomal RNA". It matches the Rfam family "Bacterial small subunit ribosomal RNA", at positions 28 to 507 of the family's 1533-position model. The record is from RNAcentral.
GACGAACGCUGGCGGCGUGCUUAACACAUGCAAGUCGAACGGUGAACGAGGGAGCUUGCUCCCUCCGGAUCAGUGGCGAACGGGUGAGUAACACGUGAGCAAUCUGCCCCGAACUCUGGGAUAAGCGUUGGAAACGACGUCUAAUACCGGAUACGACGCGGGAGGGCAUCCUCUCCGCGUGGAAAGAACUUCGGUUCGGGAUGAGCUCGCGGCCUAUCAGCUUGUUGGUGAGGUAACGGCUCACCAAGGCGACGACGGGUAGCCGGCCUGAGAGGGUGACCGGCCACACUGGGGGUGAGACACGGCCAAGACCCCUACGGGGGGAAGGGGGGGGAAAUAUGGCACAAUGGGCGCAAGCCUGAUGCAGCAGCGCCGGGGGAGGGAGACCGGCCUUCGGUUUGAAACCCUCUUUUAGCAGGAAAAAAGCAAAAGGGACGGUACCUGAAAAAAAAGCCCCGGCUAACUACGUC